This 301-nucleotide ribosomal RNA is filed under the name uncultured bacterium. RNAcentral describes it as "partial 16S ribosomal RNA". It matches the Rfam family "Bacterial small subunit ribosomal RNA", at positions 509 to 807 of the family's 1533-position model. The record is from RNAcentral.
CAGCCGCCGCGGUAAUACGGAGGGGGCUAGCGUUGUUCGGAAUUACUGGGCGUAAAGCGCACGUAGGCGGCUUGGUAAGUUAGAGGUGAAAGCCCGGAGCUCAACUCCGGAAUUGCCUUUAAGACUGCCGAGCUAGCAGGUGAGAGAGGUAAGUGGAAUUCCGAGUGUAGAGGUGAAAUUCGUAGAUAUUCGGAAGAACACCAGUGGCGAAGGCGGCUUACUGGCUCAUACUGGACGCUGAGGUGCGAAAGCGUGGGGAGCAAACAAGAUUAGAGACCCCGGUAGUCCCUGUCUCUUAUAC